RNAcentral lists this non-coding RNA (48 nucleotides) under unclassified sequences. Its description in RNAcentral is "gut-2 RNA". It matches the Rfam family "gut-2 RNA". From Rfam's summary of the family: gut metagenomes. The record is from Rfam by way of RNAcentral.
UACCUCCGGCCAAGUGGGGCCGGGGAAGGACCAAUCGGGGUCGAUAUG